This is a long non-coding RNA of Lolium perenne, 659 nucleotides long. RefSeq lists it as uncharacterized. The record is from RefSeq and is a predicted model, not a curated record. NCBI's taxonomy places the organism in Eukaryota, Viridiplantae, Streptophyta, Magnoliopsida, Poales, Poaceae.
UUCCUGCUAGUCUGAUGUUGUUUGAUGGCGGUGCUUGCAAGACUAAUAUAUCUACCUCUGCUAGAAACUGUGCUUGAACUCCUUACUUGAUUUGAUUUAUAUACUUUUAACUAUGAUGUACGUGACACUGAAGCCUGUGCUAGACUGUGCUUGAACUCCUUGACUUAAUUUAUACUUUUAACUAUGAUGUAUGUGACAGUGAAGUUAAAACCUUUUAUAUGUGGUGCAGUCAACAUAUAUCCAUUUCAGUUAAUUGUAUUCCUGCUCUUUGUUUGUUUCAUUUUAGAUUACAAGUGAUGACAAUGUUAGCUUCAACUAUGUUUUAAGUAUGUUAUGAGCUGUUCUGUACUGACUAGCUUGUUCAUUUUUGCUAGCCGGGUCUGUGCUGCAGGCAGUGCUUCCGCAGCAACGCCAAGGACAUUGGCUUCAUCAAGUACCGUUGAAGACUCUUCAUGUUUGUGACUGAGAUCUGUACCUGCAUCAGAGGAAUGGAUCCUUCAUUCAAGCCUUAAUUUAUGUGCUUUAGUUUUUUUUGUUCAGAGUACUAUGCUAGUAAACUUGUUGAAGUUUUGGUGAGACCCAUGUGGUUGUUAAAGUGACUAUGUGAUCAAACUUGAAGUAAUUUCUGUAUUCGAUGACAUAACCCUGAUCCAACUUGG